This is a long non-coding RNA of Oncorhynchus tshawytscha (Chinook salmon), 709 nucleotides long. NCBI's taxonomy places the organism in Eukaryota, Metazoa, Chordata, Actinopteri, Salmoniformes, Salmonidae. The record is from Ensembl.
GAGGUGAUAGGAGAGACGGGAUGGGGGACAGGAGGGGUAAUGGGAGAGACAGGAGAGGUGAUAGGAGAGACAGGAUGAGGGACAGGAGAGGUGAUAGGAGAGACAGGAUGGGGGACAGGAGAGGUGAUAGGAGAGACAGGAUGAGGGACAGGAGAGGUGAUAGGAGAGACAGGAUGGGGGACAGGAGGGGUAAUGGGAGAGACAGGAGAGGUGACAGGAAAGACAGGAUGAGGGACAGGAGAGGUGAUAGGAGAGACGGGAUGGGGGACAGGAGGGGUGAUAAAAGAGACAGGAGAGGUGACAGGAAAGACAGGAUGAGGGACAGGAGGGGUGAUGGGAGAGACAGGAGAGGUGAUAGGAGAGACAGGUUGAGAGACAGGAGGGUAAUGGGAGAGACAGGAUGUGGGACAGGAGGGUGAUAGGAGAGACAGGUUGAGAGACAGGAGAGGUGAUAGGAGAGACAGGAUGGGGGACAGGAGGGGUAAUGGGAGAGACAGGAGAGGUGACAGGAAAGACAGGAUGAGGGACAGGAGGGGUGAUGGGAGAGACAGGAGAGGUGAUAGGAGAGACAGGUUGAGAGACAGGAGGGGUAAUGGGAGAGGCAGGAGAGGUGAUAGGAGAGACGGGAUGGGGGACAGGAGGGGUGAUAAAAGAGACAGGAGAGGUGAUAAGAGAGACAGGAUGGGGGACAGGAGGGGUGAUGGGAGAG